AACAAACCCAUCAGAUUCUCCAUCUUCUACUGAGUGUUGUCUAAUGAGCCAAAUGACUUUCUGCGCUCCGACGUUCUCCUGCAAAUUGAUCGGUGUCCACCGGUGGACCGCGCCCUCCAAUGCUUCACCCCGUCCAUGCCUCCGACCACAUAUCCGGUGUGCUGCGCAGACUCCUCAUCGGCGAUCGGCUAAUUACCAGCCAAGCUCGUGGAGUGACGAAUACAUCCAAUCGCUAAGAAAUGACACCAAGGUGGAGGAGGAUAACGCAGCAAGGAUGGGAAAACUGACGGAGGACGUGAAACAACUGAUCUACAUGAAGAAGGGAAUUGAAGACCAGCUUCAACUGAUCGAUCACCUGCAGCAGCUUGGGGUGGCGUAUCACUUUAAGGAGGAUAUUAGGGAUGCUUUAUGGACAAUAUACCGUUCCAUGGAAGAGGUGAACAUGUUGCCACGGCUCUAAUGUUCAGGCUUCUCAGAGAACAUGGGUUUGCUGUUUCUGAAGGUCUCUUCAACCGAUUUAUAGUUGAGAAGGGCAACUUGAAAGCCAGCCUUCGCCACCAGACUGAAGGAUUGGUGAGCUUGUGCGAGGCAUCCCAUCUUGCAAAGGAAGCAGAGCACGUGCUGGAAGAAGC
This is a long non-coding RNA of Musa acuminata AAA Group (dessert banana), 632 nucleotides long. RefSeq lists it as uncharacterized. Lineage: Eukaryota; Viridiplantae; Streptophyta; Magnoliopsida; Zingiberales; Musaceae. The transcript has 3 exons. The record is from RefSeq and is a predicted model, not a curated record.